RNAcentral lists this ribosomal RNA (305 nucleotides) under uncultured bacterium. RNAcentral describes it as "bacterial SSU rRNA". It matches the Rfam family "Bacterial small subunit ribosomal RNA", at positions 335 to 636 of the family's 1533-position model. The record is from RNAcentral.
AUACCUACGGGAGGCAGCAGUGAGGAAUAUUGGUCAAUGGGCGGAAGCCUGAACCAGCCAAGUCGCGUGAGGGAAGAAGGCCCUGCGGGUCGCAGACCUCUUUGGACGGGGAGCAAGGCCGCCGACGUGUCGGCGGAAGGAGAGUACCCGUAGAACAAGCAUCGGCUAACUAUGUGCCAGCAGCCGCGGUAAUACAUAGGGAGCGAGCGUUAUCCGGAUUUAUUGGGUGUAAAGGGUGCGUAGACGGGAAUACAAGUUGGUUGUGAAAGCCCUCGGCUUAACUGAGGAACUGCAACCAAAACUAU